This 865-nucleotide ribosomal RNA is filed under the name uncultured Pseudomonas sp. RNAcentral describes it as "bacterial SSU rRNA". It matches the Rfam family "Bacterial small subunit ribosomal RNA", at positions 56 to 916 of the family's 1533-position model. The record is from RNAcentral. Lineage: Bacteria; Pseudomonadati; Pseudomonadota; Gammaproteobacteria; Pseudomonadales; Pseudomonadaceae.
UGCAAGUCUAGCGGUAGAGAGAAGCUUGCUUCUCUUGAGAGCGGCGGACGGGUGAGUAAUACCUAGGAAUCUGCCUGAUAGUGGGGGAUAACGUUCGGAAACGGACGCUAAUACCGCAUACGUCCUACGGGAGAAAGCGGGGGACCUUCGGGCCUUGCGCUAUCAGAUGAGCCUAGGUCGGAUUAGCUAGUUGGUGAGGUAAUGGCUCACCAAGGCUACGAUCCGUAACUAGUCUGAGAGGAUGAUCAGUCACACUGGAACUGAGUCACGGUCCAGACUCCUACGGGAGGCAGCAGUGGGGAAUAUUGGACAAUGGGCGAAAGCCUGAUCCAGCCAUGCCGCGUGUGUGAAGAAGGUCUUCGGAUUGUAAAGCACUUUAAGUUGGGAGGAAGGGCAGUAAAUUAAUACUUUGCUGUUUUGAUGUUACCGACAGAAUAAGCACCGGCUAACUCUGUGCCAGCAGCCGCGGUAAUACAGAGGGUGCAAGCGUUAAUCGGAAUUACUGGGCGUAAAGCGCGCGUAGGUGGUUUGUUAAGUUGAAUGUGAAAUCCCCGGGCUCAACCUGGGAACUGCAUCCAAAACUGGCAAGCUAGAGUAUGGUAGAGGGUAGUGGAAUUUCCUGUGUAGCGGUGAAAUGCGUAGAUAUAGGAAGGAACACCAGUGGCGAAGGCGACUACCUGGACUGAUACUGACACUGAGGUGCGAAAGCGUGGGGAGCAAACAGGAUUAGAUACCCUGGUAGUCCACGCCGUAAACGAUGUCAACUAGCCGUUGGGAGUCUUGAACUCUUAGUGGCGCAGCUAACGCAUUAAGUUGACCGCCUGGGGAGUACGGCCGCAAGGUUAAAACUCAAAUGAAUUGACGG